Molecule: ribosomal RNA, 429 nt
Filed under: Chloroflexota bacterium
Lineage: Bacteria; Bacillati; Chloroflexota
Description: Chloroflexi bacterium partial 16S ribosomal RNA
Rfam family: Bacterial small subunit ribosomal RNA
Source: RNAcentral
UGGGGAAUAUUGCACAAUGGGCGCAAGCCUGAUGCAGCCAUGCCGCGUGUAUGAAGAAGGCCUUCGGGUUGUAAAGUACUUUCAGCGGGGAGGAAGGGAGUAAAGUUAAUACCUUUGCUCAUUGACGUUACCCGCAGAAGAAGCACCGGCUAACUCCGUGCCAGCAGCCGCGGUAAUACGGAGGGUGCAAGCGUUAAUCGGAGUUACUGGGCGUAAAGCGCACGCAGGCGGUUUGUUAAGUCAGAUGUGAAAUCCCCGGGCUCAACCUGGGAACUGCAUCUGAUACUGGCAAGCUUGAGUAUCGUAGAGGGGGGUAGAAUUCCAGGUGUAGCGGUGAAAUGCGUAGAGAUCUGGAGGAAUACCGGUGGCGAAGGCGGCCCCCUGGACGAAGACUGACGCUCAGGUGCGAAAGCGUGGGGAGCAAACAGG